UAAUAAGAAACAUUGGCCAACCGUAGGCGGCGAGGGCAAAAUGCAUGUAAUGAAUUGCGGACUGAAAGUGACCAAGAUCACCGUCUUCUGUCAAAGAUAAAAACUUUGUCCUUGGCGUAACCGGUACGCCGGAGAGAAAUUCCAGAACCAAACCAGCAACAACAUCCGAUGGAACGACAUCCAAAUCUCGGAAGAAAUCACUCAGGAGUCUCGCAAUAUCGGCGAAUGAAUUCUGCGUAAAGGAUUAACAUCGUCUCAAUUCACAAUUCAAUGAAAACGAUCAUCAAACACCGUGGGAUGUUAUCGACUCACCCUGUUUCUGUCGGAGUUUCCCAUGCAACAGAAUAACAGUCUACAUCUGUUGUCCCAGCUAUCCUGAUAAGCGCGUAUCACUUUUCUGUGCGAGGAAAAAAAAAAGAAAAAUCACCAUUCCCUGAUAUUCGAAUAAAGAGGGGCAUAAAUCCAGUCGAAAUAAUGAA
Molecule: long non-coding RNA, 479 nt
Organism: Athalia rosae (coleseed sawfly)
Lineage: Eukaryota; Metazoa; Arthropoda; Insecta; Hymenoptera; Athaliidae
Exons: 2
Source: RefSeq, a predicted model, not a curated record